GCUUGCUUUCCUUCUCCUUCGCUUCUCGACCCUUCGCGAUUUUAUUAACCAGCCACACAUUCACAAUCGCCGGGCUCUUGGCGAACCAACACGAACUUUUCCGAAUCAGCUGGCUGCAUCACCAAGCAUUGGAAACAAAAUCGAUAUCGCUCGAAGUAUCAUUAGUAAUAUUGUUUAGACACUGAAUGUUAUUGAUUCCAUCUAUAACAUUUACUUAUAAAAUAAAAAAAGGAUUAGUUUGCAAGUGAAUGAGUAAUUAAAAGAAAGCUAAUCAAGAUUAAGUUUCUUUCAUUGGACUAAUGGAACCUUGGUUAAAAUGUAAGAAAGAAAUGCCAACACUGCUCUUUUCACGAGCUAGCCAGAAGAUUGAUAGAGCAAGAAGGAAAGAAAGAGAGAGAGGGAAAGAUCAAAACUCAUUUCAAGAUGUAUGGACAAUUUGCGAAUAGCCGAUUAAAAAAAGCAGAUCUGUUUUUCAGCUUAUCUCUAGGUAUUGUGGAUUCCUUGGCCUUGAUACGUUAAGUCCGAAUGACAACAAUCAGUUCAGUGCGAUCAACAGUCUCAAAUCAAUGAAGCAAAAAUUUUGCAUACAAGAAAAAAGUAAAUAAUCUCGAUUUAAAUGGAAGAGGAGUUAAACCACGAGGUUUUCGAACAGAAACGAGUAGUUUGACUAUCAUAGAAGAAUAAUAAAAAAAAAUCGUAGGGGUUGGAACGAG
Chelonus insularis is the source of this 713-nucleotide long non-coding RNA. RefSeq lists it as uncharacterized. The record is from RefSeq and is a predicted model, not a curated record. The transcript has 4 exons. NCBI's taxonomy places the organism in Eukaryota, Metazoa, Arthropoda, Insecta, Hymenoptera, Braconidae.